This 2283-nucleotide unclassified non-coding RNA is filed under the name uncultured fungus. Its description in RNAcentral is "sequence contains 18S rRNA gene, ITS1, 5.8S rRNA gene, ITS2, 28S rRNA gene". The stretch from base 1152 to 2283 matches the Rfam family "Eukaryotic large subunit ribosomal RNA", at positions 1 to 961 of the family's 3401-position model. Lineage: Eukaryota; Fungi. The record is from RNAcentral.
GGAAGGAUCAUCACUGAGAUUUGGCAUAUGCCGAAUCCGGCUGUGCGGCUGUUCUCAGUGGUUUUGCUGUGUGUCGGUGGAGAAUGUUGACUCUGCUUCGCGUGAGUUGGCAUUUUUUGCUGAUGUAUAGUGGAGCCUCGUUUGCAAUGAUGUAAACGUGUGGGUUUGUUUUGAAAAUCCUGGCUAGUGUCAGCGUGUUUUGGAUUUGCUAUGCAAGUGAAUACGAAAUGUGCUGGAAGUUUGCUGUAUUUCGCGGUGACGCGCAUAUGCAAUGCUGUGUAUGUGUGGAAUUGUAAUUCGUAGCGGACUUUUGUGGUUGUCUAAUUCAAUGCAAAGUUAGAUGAUUGCGCAUUAGUUGGGUCUGGAAGUAGAAAACAGUAGUGCCAGACAAAUGUAUGCGUUGGAAAUGAUUCUAGCGUGUAAUGGUUGUUUUCUGCUUUCAGGGUUGGUUUGUGUGUUUCCUAUGCAGCGCCAGUGUAUGGAAACGACGAUUGUUUUGCGUGUUCCGGUAUCAAUGACGGCGCUUAACACGUGGGAUUCUCUUAGCAAUUAAUGAUCACUAUGCCGGUGACGCCAACCAAACUAUUGUCUCUUGUUAAACAUGAAUAUUAAACUUUUGCAUUUGAUGUUUCGACAUUACUUGUAAAUAAAACUAUAUUAUUCCGAGCGGUGGAUCACUCGGCUCAUGGGUCGAUGAAAAGCGCAGCCAGCUGCGUGACUUAAUGCGAAUUGCAGACACAUUGAGCAUCGACAUCUUGAACGCACAUUGCGGCGUUAGGAUUCUGUCCUGACGCCACGCCUGUUCGAGGGUUGUACAAGUGAAGACAGUCAGUUGCCAUUGACCGAUGCGUGUCAAGGAGGCGGCUGGUGCAAAGCAGUCUGUUUGUAGGCAAUUGUCAAUGCGGAUAUUUGCUGGCGAGUAGCCUUGUUUUCUGUUUUUGUCUUUUGCUUUAGCCAUAGUCUGCGGUGCGCAUUUUGUGUGUACCGAAUUGAAAGGACUAUGGGUGAAUUUAGUACUUGACAAAGUAAUUGGUUCAAUGCGUGCAGCGAACGCUUGUUUGCUGGCGGGUGGCCCAUACCACAAUGACUUGGUGGAUGACUUGGGUUGCUGCCUGGUGGACAUAUGUUUGAUGCGUGCGUCUUUGUAAGUUCAACCUCGAAUCAGACGUGAAAACCCGCUGAAUUUAAGCAUAUCACUAGGCGGAGGAAAAGAAACUAACAAGUAUUCCCGGAGUAACGGCGAGUGAAAUGGGAAAAGCCCAGCACCGAAUCCCGCAGUGUUUCAUUGUUGGGAAAUGUGGUGUGAAGGAGGUACUAUCUGGCGUUGUGUGUGCACUCUAAGUUCCCUUGACUGGGGCCACAGUCCGUAGAAGGUGCAAGACCUGUGAGAGUGUAUGACGCGACAGUGUGUGUUUCCGUGGAGUCGGGUUGCCUGAGAUCGCAGCUCAAAGCAGGUGGUAAGCCUCACCUAAGGCUAAAUAUGGCCAUGAGACCCGAUAGCGAACAAGUACCGUGAGGGAAAGUUGCAAAGAACUUUGAAGAGAGAGUUCAAGAGGACGUGAAACUGCUCGGAAGGAAACGGGUAGAGUUACUGAUAGUACAGCUGAUUCAUGUUGGCAUUGUUUGUUGAUGUGCUACGUUGUCCGUAAGGCUGCGUUGUGUAUUUUGAUGGAUGAUGCUGGCAGCAUUUCAGUUGUAUGCGCGCCGAGGGUGAUCGACUGUUCCGUGUGCAUCUUUUGGUUGACGGUGGCAGCACUUGUGUUAUCACCAGCCUUUGGAUUGUGCUUGAGUAAUGGUUGAUCAUUGUCGGAUGCUGGCGGUGUGCGAUUUGUGUGCCAGAAUGUUGUGUAUGUGGGAAGGCGCUUGCGUCGACUUGUGUGUAUGAUGUUUUGGUGUGCUACAAUCGCUGUCGGUGUCUUCUCGGUGUACAAGGUGACCACCUACCUGACCCGUCUUGAAACACGGACCAAGGAGCCUAACAUGUGCGCGAGUGAAUGGGUGUUGAAACCUAUACGCGAAAUGAAAGUGAAGUCGGCUUGCCGAUUGACACACGACCCGUUGCUUUUUUGGUAGCGGUGCAGUGUGGUCCCAUUCUGAUAGCUUGCUAUGGAGUGGAGACAGAGCGUACACGUUGGUACCCGAAAGAUGGUGAACUAUGCCUGAGCAGAACGAAGCCAGAGGAACUCUGGUGGAGGUUCGAAACGGUUCUGACGUGCAAAUCGAUCGUCAGACUUGGGUAUAGGGGCGAAAGACUAAUCGAACCAUCUAGUAGCUGGUUCCCUC